UGACCUCGGAUCAGGUAGGGAUACCCGCUGAACUUAAGCAUAUCAAUAAGCGGAGGAAAAGAAACCAACCGGGAUUGCCUCAGUAACGGCGAGUGAAGCGGCAAGAGCUCAAAUUUGAAAGCUGGCUCCUUCGGGGUCCGCAUUGUAAUUUGCAGAGGAUGCUUCGGGUGCGGCCCCUGUCUAAGUACCCUGGAACGGGUCGUCAGAGAGGGUGAGAAUCCCGUCUGGGAUAGGGUGUCCGCGCCCGUGUGAAGCUCCUUCGACGAGUCGAGUUGUUUGGGAAUGCAGCUCUAAAUGGGUGGUAAAUUUCAUCUAAAGCUAAAUACUGGCCGGAGACCGAUAGCGCACAAGUAGAGUGAUCGAAAGAUGAAAAGCACUUUGAAAAGAGAGUUAAAAAGCACGUGAAAUUGUUGAAAGGGAAGCGCUUGCGACCAGACUCGCCCCCGGGGUUCAGCCGGCAUUCGUGCCGGUGUACUUCCCCGAGGGCGGGCCAGCGUCGGUUUGGGCGGCCGGUCAAAGGCCCCUGGAAUGUAGUACCCUCCGGGGUACCUUAUAGCCAGGGGUGCAAUGCGGCCAGCCUGGACCGAGGAACGCGCUUCGGCACGGACGCUGGCAUAAUGGUCGUAAACGACC
RNAcentral lists this ribosomal RNA (633 nucleotides) under Aspergillus bombycis. RNAcentral describes it as "eukaryotic LSU rRNA". It matches the Rfam family "Eukaryotic large subunit ribosomal RNA", at positions 1 to 649 of the family's 3401-position model. The record is from RNAcentral. Lineage: Eukaryota; Fungi; Ascomycota; Eurotiomycetes; Eurotiales; Aspergillaceae.